AUGGGCUUUACUCUGGGUUGGCCCUUUGUGAAGCAGAUGUGUGAUUCGAUGGGCUUUGACAGGCCUGCCAGGCCAAAAAAAUAUCUCGCCAGACCCAACAUUCCCACUCUGAGCUUUUUCUGUUGGUUAACACAUUAUUUCCAGAAAGCUCUGUCAAAAUGGAGAAGCGUUACUGGAGAACUACAGCACAAGAAGCAAACAGCAGAGAAAAAGGCAGGUAGUGUCAAAGAACACAAGAUUGGCAGCAGAGGUCUGGCUUCUACCCAUAAGAUUCUGGUUUCCUGUGCUUCAAACUUGGUUUCUCCUUCAUCCUGGAUACUUCCAGAGCCGGGGACCACUCAUAUGAUAAUGCCAGGGAAUUAGAACUUAAUUUGGAGAAAGUUAGCCAACUGGUGUCAAGAUGAAAGACGACAAAAGACACAGAGAGAAGACACCAAGAGGUAAACCAAGUCAUGGUAAUGGGUGAGAUCCAGGGAAUGAUCCAUGAACUCCUCUGAUGGUAAGAAAUGGUGGAGCCAAAACAUCUUUGGAUUCUGAAAGGCCUGUUUGUUCCUGUGUCCAUAAAUCUCAUUAUCUUCUCAUGGUGCCAGGCUAAACAGUUGUGAUUCCUGCUUUUUUAUUUCCCUGUGCUCUCUUUUCAUAAGCCUUUCAUUUCUCAACUUAACUGAACAAACUCUGUUCUAAAACAAAAGGCUAAGUAAAUAUCUACCCUGGAAGUUAUGGUGAUUUGGGAUAGGGGGAGAAAAGAGUAAUUAGAGGAAAUAAUGAAGAAAGUGAAUUUAAAGUUGACACCACAUAUGGCAUUGUGUCAUUGAGUGAGUUUUGGUUUUUGUUUUUGGGAAGACAUAGUAGGUAUAUAUACUUAUGGGGGAUUUAAGAUUUUUUUGAUGCAGACAUACAGUAUGUAAUAAUCCCAUAAGGGUAAGUUUUUUGGGGUUCAAUAAGAAGAACAAGGGUAUAAGAAUUUAUUUAGUGCCUACUAUGUGUUGGGCACUUCACAUAGUUUAUUGCAUUUAAUUUAGUCUUCUUAACAAGAUUAUGACGUACAUAGACUGUCUCAUUCACAUGAAAAAGCUUCAUAGAGAUUGAACAACUUGACCUUGGCUCUCCAUGGAAGGAGUUUCAGUUGCAGUUGGUAUCACUGCAAAUAUAUUAGACCCUAAUGCUUCUUAUUGCAUAUGGGAAUUGAGUGACUCUGGACACUGACAGGCUCUGGCACUGGUUAAAAUAUCCUUUUGGAACUUGGGACACAUAUAGUGGAUAGCAGAGUUCCUGGUCCAUCUGCUCACUGCCAGGACAUUUUGCUUUCACUCUUCUCUGUCUCUUUCCAUAUAUUACUGACCCUGGGCCCACUUGUCAUGCAGUUACUUUCUUUUAAAUUUUCAGGAUAAUUUCACAAAUAAAGUUGAUAUGGUUUGGCCGUGCCCCCCCCAAUCUCAUCUUGAAUUGUAACCCCCAUAAUUCCCACAUGUCGAGGGAGGGACCCAGUGGGAGGUGAUUGGGUCAUGGGGGCGGUUUCCCCUAUGCUAGUCUUGUGAUUGUGAGUGAGUUCUCAAAAGAUCUGAUGGUUUUAUAAGGCAGUUUUCCCUUCUCUUGCUAGUUCUCUCUUUCCUGCCACCACAUGAAGAUAGACUUUGCUUCCCGUUUACCUUCCGCCAUGACUGUAGGCUUCUUGAGGCAUCUCCAGCCAUAUGGAACUGUGAGUCAAUCAAACCUGUUUUCUUUUUAAAUUACCCAGUCUUUGACAGGUCUUUACAGCAAAAUGAAAAUGGAGUAAUACAAAAUUGAUAGUUGGUUGACAAAGAAAUGUAGGCUCAGAAAAUGAAGCAACUUGCCCAAAGCCACACAGUGGGAUUCUGCCAGAUUCACGGCAAGAAUACCAGGAAAUGAAGGGGAAGGUAGAAGGAGGUUCCCAGAAGAGUAACAGGCUUAACAGGCAUACGGACUUGGGAGAGAAUAGGGACAUCUAAACCUGGUUGCCCAUUAGCUGACUGUGUGUCUCAUAAGCUGUUCUCUGUCCUUCUUUAGGCCCCUGUUACCCCUUUCACCAUAUAGAACUUGUUGCAGUAACAGGCACAAAAUGGAGUCACUUACUAUGUGCCUUGGCACUCACUGUGGUCUGAAGCUACAGGUCUCCUUUCCUCUCUCUACUCCUUCUCACCACCCUGUAUCUGGCUUUAUCAGACUCAUGAUUCAGGUAUAACUCAGCAGCUGCCUCCUCCAGUCACCUGGUCCCCAAAUCUGGGUAAAAUUUCCCUCUUAGGUGCUUCUCUAGCGUCCUGCAUCUCCCUCAUCUCAUUUAUUGUAAUACCCUAUUAGUUUAUUUCUGUUGCUGUUACCAGGCAGCCAACAAAGACCCCUUUUGUCCUAUAUGCC
Molecule: long non-coding RNA, 2376 nt
Organism: Callithrix jacchus (white-tufted-ear marmoset)
Lineage: Eukaryota; Metazoa; Chordata; Mammalia; Primates; Cebidae
Source: Ensembl